UUUUAGUUUAUUCAGAAUUGCUUUUUCUUUCUGUUGGUUUGUUACUUAUCUUUCAUAUUAGGGCAUUCUUCAGUUUCCUGUGACUUUUAAUUAUCUUCUUAUAUUUAAGAGUGGGGAAACUAAAACAUCUAUUUGGAAGUUUGAACAAAUGUGUGAGACUUGUAGACUGUGGGAUAAUAGCAGGUUUUUUGGCUGGUUUGUUUACUUUAUGCUUCUCCUCUGGGGUUAAUCAGUUUCCUCUGGAAGAGAAUUUCCACACUACUGUCUGGAACCUUUCCAAAAGAUAGGGAAGAGAGAACAGUAGGUCUCAAUAUUCUGUGUGCAAACACACUUAACUCCUCUAUUUUCAGUGUAGCACUGCUCUGACAACCAUGGCUGAUAACUUCUUACCAGGAAACCUUAUUUUACCCUAUUUAGUCUUCUAAUAGUUGGAAAGUAAAGUGGGGAGAUUAUAUGAAAAUUAUAUGAAGAUUAUAUGAAGAUUUAAUUGCUUCUUUCACAUACUUUCAAUCAGUCUUUUAAAAUUUUUGCUUUUAUCCCCAUUCCCAAAAGUACUGAUACUCAAUCUCCACCUUUUUUUUUUUUCCCUGAGAGGGUUUUCUAUGCAUUAUAUAACCAAUGGCUUAUCAUUUUCCUCAUUACUGGUGUAGGAUUCAGCUUCCUCGGAGCUAUCUCCUAACAGUUGUCUAUCAGCUUCACAGCUCUCAAAAUAAUAUUGCUUUUAUCUCCUCUUCUCUUCUAAUCUCCUCUGUGGGUUUGUACAAUUUAAGACAUCUUUAAUUUCCAUUAAGGGAAUAAAGGUAGUGUGUUUUCACUCCACUAUCUCUAACCCAGAGUCCAUUAGUAUGAAUUAUCAUAAAGACCAUGUAAAGGUGGAAUAUUCCCUAUUUUACAAAAGUAAGAAUUAAACUCAGAGAAUUUAAGUAAUUAUUUUAUACUCCCAAGGUUUAUAAUUGGUAGACUUAGAAUUGUUGUCCUGUUCAGAGUGACUCCAAAUCUGUGGCUUGUCCUGCUAAAUGCUGCUGCUUCACUUAACACCCUUGUUUGCAGUGGACUGAAUGCAAACAUAUUGUCCAUCUGCCAGGAAUGGUUAGUGGCUUAUCACAGCCCCACAUGUCCCACACACACAUCCUAUUGACUUUGUCUUCUCACCCCCAAACCAGACAAGUCUGCAAAUCUCUACUUUUCAAUUAGUCAAGUUAAUGAAGCUUUUUAAAGAAAUCCAUAAAGACUGCCUCCAUGGUCUUGACAUUUAGUAACUUCUGGUAAUGGUCUCUGGGCUCCUUCUCCAUUAAAACAUUGUAUUGUGAUUCCUAAGUGCUGACACUAACUUCUUUAGAAUAGAGUGAGGAGGGGUUUCCUCUGAGCCUUCCCCAAACCCAGGAUAAAUACAGAAAUAGCAUUUUUAAUAGUUAAGCCCAUUGAGAGGCCACCCUUAAAGUACCUAUCUCCCAUCAGAAAAUCUAU
RNAcentral lists this long non-coding RNA (1467 nucleotides) under Canis lupus familiaris (dog). Its description in RNAcentral is "lncRNA (ENSCAFG00845012480.1)". The record is from RNAcentral. Lineage: Eukaryota; Metazoa; Chordata; Mammalia; Carnivora; Canidae.